ACCUAACUUGCCAUACUAUCUUAUGGAGUCAGUCUGACUGGUCACUCAGGGAGCACAAGAUAUCCUAUAAGUGGGGCCCACACAGACUCUAUGUGGAAAAAAGCAGCAAAACUCAUCUUAUAACUUGCUCUCCUGAGAUACCAACUCUACUUCAAGAGCUGGGACUAUCCAUAGAAUCUAUACCAACAGUGAAUUGCCCUGAGUGGCCCAUUGCCAAGAUCACACCGUUUUUGAUAAUAGUUACCUUGUCUAGAUCUAAUGAAGCCCCAUCCUGAGCAGCAUUGUUCAGUUGUGUUUUUCUUAAUUUUACAGUGAAAUGUAUUUUAUUCCUUUGGUA
This is a non-coding RNA of Pelobates cultripes (western spadefoot toad), 337 nucleotides long. The record is from the annotation of a GenBank genome assembly. NCBI's taxonomy places the organism in Eukaryota, Metazoa, Chordata, Amphibia, Anura, Pelobatidae.